AAAAAAGGAGGACAUUCUAGCAGCAAAAACGGGUGCCGUCAGACUGAUCCACCAGCCAGUUUGACUCGGUGAAAAGCAUCCACAGCCGGGGCGUCGUAGUAAAAUUCAGGCUGGAAUUACAGGUGGCCUUUGUAGCGAGUGGUCCACACGCGGGUAUGAUCAGUGUACGAUGGCUCAGAGGGAGGAACAGUACGGCACAGUUUACGAGAGAGCGCGUGGGAUACCCAUACUUUUGGCUUUAGGUGAAAAAUGAGAGGCUAAUAAUGGGGAUAUAAUUAAUGAGGAAGUGAAACGUUAUAUUCGAUUUGACAUUGUAUUCUACUGCGUCUUCUUCUGAUACUGUGCAUGUGCAGUGAUAAUCCAUAAUGGUAGACACCAGAGUUCCACUGCUCCUCAGUCCUCCCUUCCUUUUUGGCUUUGGCCCUUUUAUCUAUUUUUAUAUUUUUAGUUUCUAUAAUAGAGAAAGAAACAGCUUUGGGUCACAUCGUAGGGAGACUCAGUGAAUGCAGCUCCUCUGUAGUCUGUAAUGCCACUCGUUAGCCGUUACCCUUUAGAGAGAGACCUAGCCAGUGAGUCUACCAUGCCCAACUGCAACAGGGUCAGACCCUGAUCCUAUGAAUUAUUAUAUAGCUCCAUAGCCUCCAAAAUAUUUUGGACUUUAGGUAUUUGUAAAUAUGCCUAUAAGGUAUAAAUUAAAACAGAGUUGAGAGGGGAAAAUCAUAGAGUAAAGAGGCGGGGGCCCAGUCCCCCAGUAAGCUCAAAGGUAGAAGGGGGGAGAGAGGGUAGUGACAGGGACACGCUGUUUCUGGGACGGGACUUGACGACACCACUACUGUCCAAGACUCCAAGCUCAACCUCCGAGGUUUUGUAAUUGUCUUUUCGUUUUCUAUUUAUUAUCCAAUUCCUACAUUAAAUUCUCUCUCAUUACUACUAUUCUUUAUUGGAACAAAUUUUCGGAAGAUUCUAUGCUAUUUGGUAACGUCCAACCUUCAAUAAAUCCGAAAUUUUAAUAUAAUAAUUACGUUUAUAAAAUAACGUCAUCAAAUCAUAUUAUGUAUGUGACUCGAUUGAUCUCGCUUGUUUAAUAUCUAUAUCUAUGAUAACACAUUCCACACAUCUAUUGCAAAUCUUAUCAUGUGGUUUGGGUCAUUUCAACCCGUGUAUUGGAGUCUAUCAAAGAUAUGCAGGGAAAUUGUGAGAGAAGAUAAUAUUCCGAUAUAUACGCAUACCAUAUGUUGGCUAUUAGUUAAGCCACUUAAGCGUUUGGAGGGAUUCUGAAAGAUUUGGAUAUAAAUUUGGAGACUGCCCAGUGAUGCACCGGACGAGCCCACGCUUUUGUACGCC
Molecule: long non-coding RNA, 1344 nt
Filed under: Vitis vinifera (wine grape)
Lineage: Eukaryota; Viridiplantae; Streptophyta; Magnoliopsida; Vitales; Vitaceae
Description: long non-coding RNA (VVIN_LNC007603)
Source: RNAcentral